This 476-nucleotide ribosomal RNA is filed under the name uncultured bacterium. Its description in RNAcentral is "SSU rRNA". It matches the Rfam family "Bacterial small subunit ribosomal RNA", at positions 26 to 521 of the family's 1533-position model. The record is from RNAcentral.
AGGAUGAACGCUGGCGGCGUGCCUAACACAUGCAAGUCGAACGUCCUGUCUCGCAAGAGGCAGGGAGUGGCGGACGGGUGAGUACCACGUGGGUCAUCUACCGUGAGGUGAGGAAUACCGGCGAGAAAUCGCCGACAAGACCGCAUAGGCUCGAUGCAAGUCGAGCAAAGCUCUUUCGAGAGAGGGAGCGCCACACGAGGAGCCUGCGCCCGAUUAGCUAGCUGGUGGAGUAACGGUUCACCAGGGCGACGAUCGGUAGCUGGUCUGAGAGGACGAUCAGCCACACUGGAUUGAGAACGGCCCAGACUCCUACGGGGGCAGCAGUGAGGAAUUUUCGUCAAUGGGGGCAACCCUGAACGAGCAACGCCGCGUGCAGGAAGAAGGUUUCGGAUCGUAAACUGUCUUUUCGUCGGGGAAGAGGAACGGACGGUACCCGAGGAAUCAGCCCCGGCUAACUACGCGCCAGCAGCCGCGGU